Molecule: ribosomal RNA, 253 nt
Filed under: uncultured bacterium
Lineage: Bacteria
Description: partial 16S ribosomal RNA
Rfam family: Bacterial small subunit ribosomal RNA
Source: RNAcentral
UACGAGGGGGGCAAGCGUUGUUCGGAAUCACUGGGCGUAAAGGGAGCGUAGGCGGGUUCUUAAGUUAGGUGUUUAAUCCCGGGGCCCAACCCCGGACCGGCACUUAAAACUGGGAAUCUUGAGUAGUGGAGAGGUCAGUGGAAUUGGGGGUGUAGCGGUGGAAUGCGUAGAGAUCCCCAAGAACACCAGUUGCGAAGGCGGCUGACUGGACAGAUAUUGACGCUGAGGCUCGAAAGCAUGGGGAGCAAACAGG